RNAcentral lists this ribosomal RNA (457 nucleotides) under uncultured bacterium. RNAcentral's name for it is "partial 16S ribosomal RNA". It matches the Rfam family "Bacterial small subunit ribosomal RNA", at positions 339 to 795 of the family's 1533-position model. The record is from RNAcentral.
CUACGGGGUGCUGCAGUAGGGAAUUUUCGGCAAUGGGGGAAACCCUGACCGAGCAACGCCGCGUGAAUGACGAAGUACUUCGGUAUGUAAAGUUCUUUUAUUAGGGAAGAAUGGCAGGUGGAAAAACCUGAUUGACGGUACCUAAUGAAUAAGCCCCGGCUAACUAUGUGCCAGCAGCCGCGGUAAUACAUAGGGGGCAAGCGUUAUCCGGAAUUAUUGGGCGUAAAGGGUGCGUAGGUGGUUAGUUAAGUCUUUGGUGUAAGUGCAGUGCUUAACGCUGUGAUUCUAAAGAAACUGGCUGACUUGAGUGUGGUAGAGGCAAGUGGAAUUCCAUGUGUAGCGGUAAAAUGCGUAAAUAUAUGGAGGAACACCAGUGGCGAAGGCGGCUUGCUGGGCCACAACUGACACUGAGGCACGAAAGCGUGGGGAGCAAACAGGAUUAGAUACCCUCGUAGUC